RNAcentral lists this transfer RNA (77 nucleotides) under Mitostemma brevifilis. RNAcentral describes it as "tRNA-Asp". It matches the Rfam family "tRNA". From Rfam's summary of the family: Transfer RNA (tRNA) molecules are approximately 80 nucleotides in length. Their secondary structure includes four short double-helical elements and three loops (D, anti-codon, and T loops). The record is from RNAcentral. Lineage: Eukaryota; Viridiplantae; Streptophyta; Magnoliopsida; Malpighiales; Passifloraceae. RNAcentral also lists the same sequence under 1 other name.
UGGGAUUGUAGUUCAAUUGGUCAGAGCACCGCCCUGUCAAGGCGGAAGGUGCGGGUUCGAGCCCCGUCAGUCCCGAC